Molecule: ribosomal RNA, 253 nt
Filed under: uncultured bacterium
Lineage: Bacteria
Description: partial 16S ribosomal RNA
Rfam family: Bacterial small subunit ribosomal RNA
Source: RNAcentral
UACGUAGGGGGCAAGCGUUGUCCGGAAUUACUGGGCGUAAAGAGCUCGUAGGUGGUUUGUCGCGUUGUUCGUGAAAACUCACAGCUCAACUGUGGGCGUGCGGGCGAUACGGGCAGACUAGAGUACUGCAGGGGAGACUGGAAUUCCUGGUGUAGCGGUGGAAUGCGCAGAUAUCAGGAGGAACACCGGUGGCGAAGACGGGUCUCUGGGCCGAUACUGACGCUGAGGAGCGAAAGCGUGGGGAGCGAACAGG